GAUCAAGUGUCUUAAGGGCAAUUGGUGGAUGCCUUGGCAUGCACAGGCGAUGAAGGACGUGAUACGCUGCGAUAAGCUACGGGGAGGUGCGAAUACCCUUUGAUCCGUAGAUUUCCGAAUGGGGAAACCCACCUAAGGUGCUUGGAAAAUCAGAGCAGCAGGUAAUUGGCGCGAGAUCCCAAAAGGAUUGAGCGUUAAGCGACGAUCUCUUUGAGAUCGCGCAGACUUGCUGCUGUGGUUUCCAAGUAUCUGUUAUAGGUAACUUAUCCUGAAUACAUAGGGAUAAAGUGGCGAACGCGGGGAACUGAAACAUCUAAGUACCCGUAGGAAAGGACAUCAACCGAGACUCCGGCAGUAGUGGCGAGCGAACCCGGACCAGGCCAGUGGCGAUGAUGAGACAAGCGGAACCUUCUGGAAAGUAGGGCCAUAGUGGGUGACAGCCCCGUACGCGUAAUGCAAAUCAUCGUCCUCGAGUAAGGCGGGACACGUGAAAUCCUGUCUGAAAUUGGGGGGACCACCCUCCAAGCCUAAGUACUCGUGCAUGACCGAUAGCGAACUAGUACCGUGAGGGAAAGGUGAAAAGCACCCCGACAAGGGGAGUGAAAGAGUACCUGAAACCGAUUGCCUACAAACAGUGGGAGUCCAAGGUUCGUCCUGGGUGACCACGUACCUUUUGUAUAAUGGGUCAGCGACUUAGUGUGACGAGCAAGCUUAAACCGCUAGGUGUAGGCGCAGCGAAAGCGAGUCUGAACAGGGCGUUCAGUUCGUCGCAUUAGACCCGAAACCGAGUGAUCUAGCCAUGAGCAGGUUGAAGGUAAGGUAACACUUACUGGAGGACCGAACCCAUAACUGUUGCAAUAGUUCGGGAUGACUUGUGGCUAGGGGUGAAAGGCCAAUCAAACUCGGAAAUAGCUGGUUCUCCGCGAAAUCUAUUUAGGUAGAGCGUCGACCGAAUACCCCAGGGGGUAGAGCACUGGAUGGGCUAGGGGUCCUCACCGGAUUACCAAACCUAACCAAACUCCGAAUACCUGGGAGUACUAGUCGGCAGACACACGGCGGGUGCUAACGUCCGUCGUGAAAAGGGAAACAACCCUGACCUACAGCUAAGGUCCCCAAGUUAUGGCUAAGUGGGAAAGGAUGUGAGGAUCCCAAAACAACCAGGAUGUUGGCUUAGAAGCAGCCAUCAUUUAAAGAAAGCGUAACAGCUCACUGGUCUAAAUAAGGGUCUUUGCGCCGAAAAUGUAACGGGGCUCAAGCCAUACACCGAAGCUUAGGGUUCGUGAGCAAUCACGAGCGGUAGCGGAGCGUUCUGUAAGCUGAUGAAGCCAUACCCGUGAGGGGUGGUGGAGGUAUCAGAAGUGCGAAUGCUGACAUGAGUAACGUAAGGGGAGUGAGAGACUCCCCCGCCGAAAGUCCAAGGGUUCCUGCUUAAAGCUAAUCUGAGCAGGGUUAGCCGGCCCCUAAGUCGAGGCAGAAAUGCGUAGACGAUGGGAACCACGUUAAUAUUCGUGGGCCUGGAGGAAGUGACGGAUCAUUGAGGUAGUCCAAUCUUAUCGGAUUGAACGGGCUGCUGCGUGGUUCCAGGAAAUAGCUCCUCCUUAUAGACCGUACCCGAAACCGACACUGGUGGACUGGUAGAGUAUACCAAGGCGCUUGAGAGAACUAUGCUGAAGGAACUCGGCAAAUUGCACGCGUAACUUCGGAAGAAGCGUGACCCUUUUCCACGCAAGUGGAGGAGGGUGGCACAGACCAGGGGGUAGCGACUGUUUAUCAAAAACACAGGGCUCUGCGAAGUCGCAAGACGACGUAUAGGGUCUGACGCCUGCCCGGUGCUGGAAGGUUAAGAGGAGGGGUGCAAGCUCUGAAUCGAAGCCCCAGUAAACGGCGGCCGUAACUAUAACGGUCCUAAGGUAGCGAAAUUCCUUGUCGGGUAAGUUCCGACCUGCACGAAUGGCGUAACGACUUCCCCGCUGUCUCCAGCAUAGACUCAGUGAAAUUGAAUUCCCCGUGAAGAUGCGGGGUUCCUGCGGUUAGACGGAAAGACCCCGUGCACCUUUACUAUAGCUUUACAUUGGCAUUCGUAGUGGCAUGUGUAGGAUAGGUGGUAGGCUUUGAAACCUGGGCGCCAGCUCAGGUGGAGCCACCCUUGAAAUACCACCCUUAUCACUAUGGAUGUCUAACCGCGGCCCGUCAUCCGGGUCCGGGACAAUGUAUGGUGGGUAGUUUGACUGGGGCGGUCGCCUCCUAAAGAGUAACGGAGGCGCGCGAUGGUGGGCUCAGAACGGUCGGAAAUCGUUCGCUGAGUGCAAUGGCAUAAGCCUGCCUGACUGCGAGACUGACAAGUCGAGCAGAGACGAAAGUCGGUCAUAGUGAUCCGGUGGUCCCGCGUGGAAGGGCCAUCGCUCAACGGAUAAAAGGUACGCCGGGGAUAACAGGCUGAUGACCCCCAAGAGUCCAUAUCGACGGGGUUGUUUGGCACCUCGAUGUCGACUCAUCGCAUCCUGGGGCUGGAGCAGGUCCCAAGGGUAUGGCUGUUCGCCAUUUAAAGCGGUACGUGAGUUGGGUUCAGAACGUCGUGAGACAGUUCGGUCCCUAUCUGCCGUGGGUGUAGGAAUAUUGAAAGGAUCUGUCCCUAGUACGAGAGGACCGGGAUGGACGGAUCUCUGGUGGACCUGUUGUGGCGCCAGCCGCAUAGCAGGGUAGCUAUAUCCGGACGGGAUAACCGCUGAAGGCAUCUAAGCGGGAAACCCACCUUAAAACGAGUAUUCCCUGAGAACCGUGGAAGACGACCACGUUGAUAGGNGAAGGCAUCUAAGCGGGAAACCCACCUUAAAACGAGUAUUCCCUGAGAACCGUGGAAGACGACCACGUUGAUAGGCCGGGUGUGGAAGAGCGGCAACGCUUGAAGCUUACCGGUACUAAUAGUUCGAUCGGCUUGAUCGUUCUCAUU
This 2950-nucleotide ribosomal RNA is filed under the name Mesorhizobium sp. L48C026A00. Its description in RNAcentral is "bacterial LSU rRNA". It matches the Rfam family "Bacterial large subunit ribosomal RNA". Lineage: Bacteria; Pseudomonadati; Pseudomonadota; Alphaproteobacteria; Hyphomicrobiales; Phyllobacteriaceae. The record is from RNAcentral.